Molecule: long non-coding RNA, 851 nt
Filed under: Trifolium pratense (red clover)
Lineage: Eukaryota; Viridiplantae; Streptophyta; Magnoliopsida; Fabales; Fabaceae
Description: long non-coding RNA (TPRA_LNC006693)
Source: RNAcentral
UUCUGUUCAUGAAAGGAUUUGAAGAAGUAUGCACUUAGUUAGAUAUAUAGUAUAUAGGUCUAAGUCCGAAUGUAAGUGAAUAUAUAGAGUGUGAUGAUCUCGUAGAGUUGGGGAUGAACUUAUAUAUAGGCCUAUGAAUAAUGGCCAUGGGCGUGGAUGUGUAUGUGAUGACAGUCAAUUAUAUGAUGUUUUUAGUAGUAAUUUAGGGUUGUUUUAAUAGCAACUGAAGUCCAAAAGCAAGCAAAUACCUGGAAAAGUGAAGUUACUUGGCAUAGAAGCAAGAAAAGUGGAAAAGACAGCAAAAAAGGGGCAAAAACGUAAUAAACAACGCAAUCCAUCAUACUUACGAUGAGAUCCAGUGUGGCGCGAUGAGAAGGCGGUUUAAAUUGAAGAAAAUCUGCAACAAAUCUUUCCUAUCGUACCACGAUGACUUAUCAUCGUGGCACGAUGAAAGGCAGUUGAAGAAAGCAGAAAAUCUGGAAAAGAUCUUCCAUCGUACCACGAUAUGAUCCAUCGUGGCCAUGAUGAGGCAAAAUUACACACCAUCGUGGCCACGAUGGGUGCGAUGGACGCGCAGAAAAAGCCCAAAACAAGCUGAAAAACUAUAAAUAGAGCAUUCAUCCUUCACUAUUAUUCAUUCAGAAAUAUUGGAGCAUAUUCAAUAUUCACUUUAGAGUUAUGAGAACUGUAAGGAUGAGACAAGGAGGGCCAAAGAACUCCAAAACCAAUAAGGUUCUUUUCUUUAUUGUCUUUGUAAUUUAUUUUUCCUAGGUUAGGUGGACUCGAUGAACUCCCUUACGAAUACAUGGUUUUGUAUAAUUUGGGUUUAAAUUCAAUUGUUCCUAUUGAAA